AGUCGAGCGGUAGAGAGAAGCUUGCUUCUCUUGAGAGCGGCGGACGGGUGAGUWWUGCCUAGGAAUCUGCCUGGUAGUGGGGGAUAACGUUCGGAAACGGACGCUAAUACCGCAUACGUCCUACGGGAGAAAGCAGGGGACCUUCGGGCCUUGCGCUAUCAGAUGAGCCUAGGUCGGAUUAGCUAGUUGGUGGGGUAAUGGCUCACCAAGGCGACGAUCCGUAACUGGUCUGAGAGGAUGAUCAGUCACACUGGAACUGAGACACGGUCCAGACUCCUACGGGAGGCAGCAGUGGGGAAUAUUGGACAAUGGGCGAAAGCCUGAUCCAGCCAUGCCGCGUGUGUGAAGAAGGUCUUCGGAUUGUAAAGCACUUUAAGUUGGGAGGAAGGGUUGUAGAUUAAUACUCUGCAAUUUUGACGUUACCGACAGAAUAAGCACCGGCUAACUCUGUGCCAGCAGCCGCGGUAAUACAGAGGGUGCAAGCGUUAAUCGGAAUUACUGGGCGUAAAGCGCGCGUAGGUGGUUUGUUAAGUUGGAUGUGAAAUCCCCGGGCUCAACCUGGGAACUGCAUUCAAAACUGACUGACUAGAGUAUGGUAGAGGGUGGUGGAAUUUCCUGUGUAGCG
This 625-nucleotide ribosomal RNA is filed under the name Pseudomonas synxantha. Its description in RNAcentral is "bacterial SSU rRNA". Lineage: Bacteria; Pseudomonadati; Pseudomonadota; Gammaproteobacteria; Pseudomonadales; Pseudomonadaceae. The record is from RNAcentral.